UGAGAGCUUGCUCUUGAUGACGAGUGGCGCACGGGUGCGUAACGCGUAUGCAAUCUACCUAUAACUGAGGGAUAGCCCAGAGAAAUUUGGAUUAAUACCUCAUAAUAAUAUUUUUUGGCAUCAUUAAAUAUUUAAAACUCCGGUGGUUAUAGAUGAGCAUGCGUUCUAUUAGUUUGUUGGUGAGGUAAAAGCUCACCAAGACUACGAUAGAUAGGGGGCCUGAAAGGGUGAUCCCCCACACUGGUACUGAGACACGGACCAGACUCC
This 267-nucleotide ribosomal RNA is filed under the name unidentified marine bacterioplankton. RNAcentral describes it as "partial 16S ribosomal RNA". It matches the Rfam family "Bacterial small subunit ribosomal RNA", at positions 73 to 339 of the family's 1533-position model. The record is from RNAcentral. RNAcentral also lists the same sequence under 1 other name.